CCUGAAACUCAGAGAUCCAUCUGCCUCUACCUACAGAGUGCUGGGAUUAAAGGAAUUGGCCACCACUGCCCUGCUUGUCUUUAGUUGAACAGACUCACUAUUAAUCCCACUGCCCUCUUUAAAGCCCUGAGUUCUGCCCAUCACGAUCUCUUACCCCAUUUAGAAUGUCUGCCUCUGUUUCUUCACCACUGGCAUUCAAAAUCCUACUUUUAAAAAAGGCUCUCUGUGUAUUUGCAAACUUACAAACCCAUGUUCCAUAUGUGGAAGCCAAAGGUCAAUAUUGGGUGCCUUCCCCAAUUUCUCUUUGUUGGGGUGACCUUCCUCACACUGUAUAAAAGUGUAUCUCUGUAUUUUCAACUGUUAAUUUUUUUACUAGCAGAGAACUAAGUGCUGGCAGGACUCUGGUAUUGUCAUUUCUAUGGCCCCACACUGGGUUUUCUAUUUGGUAAAUAUUUGUCCUUCCUCACCUUCCUAAAAGCAAGCAAGCAAAGACAUGGAUCAGGUGUUGUCUCACUGCUGAUUGGUUGUAAUAAAGAGCCAAUGGGCCAAUAGCUGGGACAGGAAGUACAAGGGCAGAACUUCCUGCCGGAGAGAGUGCCAGAGAAGAUUCAGAAACAGACAUGGAAGAGACAGACACAGCCAGAGCAGACGAGGGAGGUACAGAGUUAGUCACAUGGUGGGGUCGUAAGCUAGAAUAGUCUAAGUGUAAACAGCAGCUGAGAGAUUGCCCCAACUAACGGCCUACAACUUUAAACUGUAUGAAAGUCUCUGUGUUAUUAUUGAACCGCUGAAGUGUCUGAGAAAGUCUUGUAAUAGCUCCCAACCUUAUUUUUGAGACAGGGUCUCUCACUGACCCUGGAGCACUGGCCAUCAAGACCCAAGAGAGCCUUUAGAUUUUCAUGGAGGGAAUCAUCCUGCAGCCUGUAGCUCCUCCGUGCUGGCAUCCAAAGUCAGGUCUAACGCGUGUGUGACAGUACCAAUGGAGCCAUUCUAACCUUCAAAAGACGUCUUUUCUCUCUCUCUCUCUCUCUCUCUCUCUCUCUUUCUUCCUUUCUUUCAUGGAAUAAAAAUAAUUCUGUCAUCUUCAGAAUUUUUGCCAACAGUGACUGUGCUGGGUAGUUUUUAUUGUUAAGUUGGAAAAAAAACUAGAGUCAGUCACCCAAGGAGAGGGAGCUCCAGUUGAGGCCUUCCCUAGUCAGGCUGACCUGUAGAAGUGUUGUGGAGCAUUUUUCUUGAUUGCUAGUUGAUGUAGGAGGGUCCAUCCCGCUCAAGAAGCAAGCUGCUUUGGAUCCUCUGAGAGCUCUCAUGCUCCAAGGAGAGGCACACGGUGGCGCACACACACACACACACACACACACACACACACACACACACACACACACCGAAAGCAAAUUUUAAAAAGUGUGCGCCACUUUGCUCAUGUCAAAGUUGACAGAGUUUUGUCCUACAUUCAAAUGAAAGCAUUUACACUCUGGUGUGCUGCAUAUGCCACGGGCUCUAAUGUGUCAUCGUGGCAUUGUAAGGCCUAGUAUCUUAUUAUUCAGUGUUCCUGCUUUUAAAGAUGCUCAGCAGGGUAAGCAUUCCUCAGUGAUUUUUGGACAGUGUUAAAAAAUGCUCAUAAAUUACUUAAAACUUCUGUAGUCUGUGAUAUUACGUGUGUGUUACCUACGCUAAACUGUCACCCAGGUGCCAUGGGACAUCAGUGAGGAAGUGCGCUAACUCAGCCCAGGGACAGCAUCUACAGAGUCUCCAGCCAACCUGAGGCUCAGAUGAUUGACAGGACAUCGGAGACUCGGCUAACUGCCAUAGUUACGGGUGAAGACUGGCCUGUUAAUAGUGUGAAAACCGUCUACCGAAGUGGAACUCUAAUAAAAUGGAACCGUGAAGAAAGAGCCUUCCUGUGCAUGCUCCUUAACAAGAACUGCCAUGCAAGAUUUCCUAAGAGCUUUCCAGGGAAGGCUUCUCUGUUUGCUGUCUCCUACCUGCACAGGCUGACAUUCUCACGAACGGUGGUGUGUAAGAGAGUCAGUUUCUGCAUAUCCUCACCAACGCUGCAGCCUCACCAACACUGCAUUCUUACCAACACUAGCCAUUGUACUUUUUGUUUGUUCGUUUGUUUGUUUUGUUUUUUUGAGACAGGCCUUCUCUGUGUAGCCCUGGCUGUCCUGGAACUCGUUUGUAGAUCAGGCUGGCCUUGAACUCAAGAGAUCUGCCUGCCUCUGCCUCCUAGCUCUGGGACUAAAGGUGUGCGCCACCACCUUCUGACAUGUCCUUGUACUUUUGAUUUGUAUCUUCUUUAAUAAUUAAAAUGCUUUUGCUCACUGA
Mus musculus (house mouse) is the source of this 2325-nucleotide long non-coding RNA. RefSeq annotates it as predicted gene 9465. The transcript is spliced from 2 exons. Lineage: Eukaryota; Metazoa; Chordata; Mammalia; Rodentia; Muridae. The record is from RefSeq and is a predicted model, not a curated record.